AUCCCCUGACCGCGUAUGAAAGUACGGUUUUACACCCUCGGGUGACAGGGAGACAGGUGGUGCAUGGUUGUCGUCAGCUCGUGUCGUGAGAUGUUGGGUUAAGUCCCGCAACGAGCGCAACCCCUACGUUUAGUUGCUAACGCGUGAAGGCGAGCACUCUAGACGAACUGCCGUUGACAAAACGGAGGAAGGUGGGGAUGACGUCAAAGUCAUCAUGCCCCUUAUGUUCUGGGCUACACACGUGCUACAAUGGCCGGUACAGACGGACGCAAAGCCGCGAGGUGGAGCAAAUCCUAGAAAGCCCGGUCUCAAUUCGGAUUGCAGGCUGCAAUUCGCCUGCAUGAGGUCGGAAUCGCUAGUAAUCGCAGGUCAGCAUACUGCGGUGAAUACGUUCCCGGGCCUU
This 403-nucleotide ribosomal RNA is filed under the name uncultured Bacillus sp. Its description in RNAcentral is "bacterial SSU rRNA". It matches the Rfam family "Bacterial small subunit ribosomal RNA", at positions 986 to 1382 of the family's 1533-position model. Lineage: Bacteria; Bacillati; Bacillota; Bacilli; Caryophanales; Bacillaceae. The record is from RNAcentral.